GUUUCCUGUUGCUUUAUUGACCCUAAUAACUUUACAAUAACAAAAAUCAGAAUGAGUUCAGUAUUGGAAUUUGCAAUUUAUUGCAUGUGACACUUACCUCUAACACAAAACAAUUAAUUGCAUUAAUAUAAAUUUAAUAGACUGAAUUCUCUUAUAUCUAAAUGUGGGCAAGAUAUUGGUGACAUACUUUUUUAAAGCAGCACUGUCAUGCCGAACUUACCUUUCCCCAAUCUCUUCCUCUUCUCACCCUCUCUCAGGAUCUGUUCUUUAUUUCUUCCUGUCUUCUGUAGUUUUCUUUAAAAUCAUAAGACAAAGUAGGGACUCUUUGCCUUAUGGAGGUUUCCUCCGCUUGACCAGCGGAGGAGCAAAGUGUGCUUCAUUUCCGCUGGUAAGAGCAAUUUCCCCAUAAUUCUUACCUUUCCUCCCUGUUCCCACGAUGCUUCCUGUCAGUAUUGCCAAACGUCCUGUCACUUAGACAGAACGCCGGCAAAACUGCCGAAUUGCAUCCUAAUAGAAUGAGAACAGUUUCUCCAUUCAUUUUAGGAUGCAAUUUGGGACUUUGGUCGGAUCGCAAUUUCAUUUGAAUUAAUGAAACUCC
Pelobates cultripes (western spadefoot toad) is the source of this 598-nucleotide non-coding RNA. The record is from the annotation of a GenBank genome assembly. Lineage: Eukaryota; Metazoa; Chordata; Amphibia; Anura; Pelobatidae.